GGAGUUGUUAUACAGAAGUUCUUCGGGAUGGAAGUAUAAGAACUUAGUGGCGGACGGGUGAGUAACGCGUGGGUAACCUGCCCUUUUGUGGGGAACAACUUCGAGAAAUCGGAGCUAAUACCGCAUAAUAAUAGAGAAUCGCAUGAUUUUCUAAGGAAAGAUGGCCUCUGAAGAUGCUAUCGCAAAAGGAUGGACCCGCGUCUGAUUAGCUAGUUGGAAGGGUAACGGCCUACCAAGGCAACGAUCAGUAGCCGGCCUGAGAGGGUGAACGGCCACAUUGGGACUGAGACACGGCCCAAACUCCUACGGGAGGCAGCAGUGGGGAAUCUUCCGCAAUGGGCGAAAGCCUGACGGAGCAAUGCCGCGUGAGUGAAGAAGGCCUUCGGGUUGUAAAACUCUGUCCUUAUCGAAGAGAGGUGGGUAUGUGAAUAAUGUACUCAUAGGACGGUAGAUAAGGAGGAAGCCCCGGCUAACUACGUGCCAGCAGCCGCGGUAAUACGUAGGGGGCGAGCGUUGUCCGGAAUCACUGGGCGUAAAGGGCGCGUAGGCGGUUUAAUAAGUCAGUGGUGAAAACUGAGGGCUCAACCCUCAGCCUGCCACUGAUACUGUUAGACUUGAGUAUGGAAGAGGAGAAUGGAAUUCCUAGUGUAGCGGUGAAAUGCGUAGAUAUUAGGAGGAACACCAGUGGCGAAGGCGAUUCUCUGGGCCAAGACUGACGCUGAAGCGCGAAAGCGUGGGGAGCAAACAGGAUUAGAUACCCUGGUAGU
Molecule: ribosomal RNA, 767 nt
Filed under: uncultured bacterium
Lineage: Bacteria
Description: bacterial SSU rRNA
Rfam family: Bacterial small subunit ribosomal RNA
Source: RNAcentral